AGUGAACGCUGGCGGUAGGCCUAACACAUGCAAGUCGAACGGCAGCACAGUAAGAGCUUGCUCUUACGGGUGGCGAGUGGCGGACGGGUGAGGAAUACAUCGGAAUCUACUUUUUCGUGGGGGAUAACGUAGGGAAACUUACGCUAAUACCGCAUACGACCUACGGGUGAAAGCAGGGGAUCUUCGGACCUUGCGCGAUUGGAUGAGCCGAUGUCGGAUUAGCUAGUUGGCGGGGUAAAGGCCCACCAAGGCGACGAUCCGUAGCUGGUCUGAGAGGAUGAUCAGCCACACUGGAACUGAGACACGGUCCAGACUCCUACGGGAGGCAGCAGUGGGGAAUAUUGGGCAAUGGGCGCAAGCCUGAUCCAGCCAUGCCGCGUGGGUGAAGAAGGUCUUCGGGUUGUAAAGCCCUUUUGUUGGGAAAGAAAAGCAGUGGGUUAAUACCCCGCUGUUCUGACGGUACCCAAAGAAUAAGCACCGGCUAACUUCGUG
This 492-nucleotide ribosomal RNA is filed under the name uncultured bacterium. Its description in RNAcentral is "partial 16S ribosomal RNA". It matches the Rfam family "Bacterial small subunit ribosomal RNA", at positions 29 to 507 of the family's 1533-position model. The record is from RNAcentral.